UGGGGAAUUUUGGGCAAUGGGCGAAAGCCUGAUCCAGCAAUGCCGCGUGUGUGAAGAAGGCCUUCGGGUUGUAAAGCACUUUUGUCCGGAAAGAAAUCCUUGGCUCUAAUACAGUCGGGGGAUGACGGUACCGGAAGAAUAAGCACCGGCUAACUACGUGCCAGCAGCCGCGGUAAUACGUAGGGUGCAAGCGUUAAUCGGAAUUACUGGGCGUAAAGCGUGCGCAGGCGGUUUGCUAAGACCGAUGUGAAAUCCCCGGGCUCAACCUGGGAACUGCAUUGGUGACUGGCAGGCUAGAGUAUGGCAGAGGGGGGUAGAAUUCCACGUGUAGCAGUGAAAUGCGUAGAGAUGUGGAGGAAUACCGAUGGCGAAGGCAGCCCCCUGGGCCAAUACUGACGCUCAUGCACGAAAGCGUGGGGAGCAAAACAGGAUUAGAUACCCUGGUAGUCCACGCCCUAAACGAUGUCAACUGGUUGUUGGGGAUUCAUUUCCCUAGUAACGUAGCUAACGCGUGAAGUUGACCGCCUGGGGAGUACGGUCGCAAGAUUAAAACUUAAAUGAAUUGACGGGGUCAUAGCUGUUUCCU
Molecule: ribosomal RNA, 586 nt
Filed under: uncultured bacterium
Lineage: Bacteria
Description: partial 16S ribosomal RNA
Rfam family: Bacterial small subunit ribosomal RNA
Source: RNAcentral